Molecule: ribosomal RNA, 113 nt
Filed under: Crocodylus porosus (Australian saltwater crocodile)
Lineage: Eukaryota; Metazoa; Chordata; Crocodylia; Crocodylidae
Source: RNAcentral
AUUAAUGGCUUUGCUGAACCGAAUGCACCCAAUUACAACUGAUCUUGUUUGGAAGCUGAGUAGUCUUGGGCCUGGCUAGUAUGUGGAUAGGAGAAUCCCAGGUGCUCUAAGCA